AGCUAAACCCGACCGUAGCGGAUGCCACAAUUUUUUCAAUUGGGGCAGAAGAGGGGGCGGGGCUGCAG
RNAcentral lists this non-coding RNA (68 nucleotides) under Pedobacter suwonensis. Lineage: Bacteria; Pseudomonadati; Bacteroidota; Sphingobacteriia; Sphingobacteriales; Sphingobacteriaceae. The record is from RNAcentral.